UCAUUAUUUGUUAUUAAUUACAAUUUUUACUUGUUUUCUAAAUCUUAUUUUUGUUCAUUAUUUCUUUCUUUUCAAAUGGUAAAAUUAUCUUUUAUUUUCCUGGGGUAAAAUCGACUUUUAACUCAUUUCCAGUUAAAUAUUAAUAUUUUUUUAACGAAAAUGUAAUAAAUUAAUAACGGCGAAAAUAUUUGGCGGUAAAAUGUAAUUUUCAGCACACCAUGAUAGUGACAUGAUAUGUCAAAAUAACUGUAGCAGGAAAACAAAAAUAUCCCCAAUAAUAAUAAUCAUCAUAAAUGUUCUAAACAUGUAUAGUGAACUGCAAAAAUUAAUGUAAGUACAUUUUAGAUAUACUUAAACUUGUUCUUAAAAAUACAUGCAAUGUAACUUUAUAACUACAUCGGUCAUUGGUUCAAAUCAUUUUAGAAAAGAAUAGAAUUGAGAAUAUUGAAGUUGCCGAGGAAAAAAAUUUUAAUAUUACGAAUCUUAUAUGUUACUUAUUAUUAGUAUUUUUUUGUGUUUGACUAAUUAUCAAUUUAUAUUUUCAUUAGGCCCUAAAUGAUUAAAAAAAUGCUAUUUUAUACAUCUAACAAAAUCAUUAAUUUAAUACACUGGCCUAAGUGGAGAUCAAAAGAUUUUUUUAUUUAAUUAAGGUUAUCAAUUUAUUAAAUAUUCAUCGAUCAAGCUUUUACUAUAUAGCUAAAACAGAUACACUUAUAUAGUAAAGCCCUAAGGCGUACCGAGAACAGGACUCAUAAAUUAAUGCCAACUGGUGGUGGCGAAACAUUACUCCCAUAUUUAGGAAGAUAUCAAGUCCUACCCAUAAAUCACAAGUAUGGAAGGGAAAAUAAAUUAUAAUAACGUAGGAGGACUAGGCAAUACCCUCAAUAGUUAUUGGGCCAUUAGUUGCCGCCAUGGCAGAGACUUGGUGACAAAUUAGAUAUACUUUAAACACUCAUUGAAUUAUGAUCAUAUUCUUAAAUAAUAAAUAUUAUACGAGCAGAAAAUGUAACUAAAAUAAUUAAAGAAUUCUAAAUCACUCUGUACUUCAUUCCCUUUCGACAUGAACAAGACAAUUCAAAGACAUACUUCUAAGCUUUCUUAAUUUCUUGAUUAUCAUGGUUUUAAGAACUUGUUUACCAACCAAUCUUUCGAUGAGAGCUGUAUUUUGAUGUAAUCCUUGUAAAACACAGAGACUUGUCACAAUAGGGCUUAUAUAAACUUCGGACUCUUCUAAGAAUCUAAAUUGAUUCCUCUAAUAAAUGUAACAAAUAUUUAUCGACUGUGUCAAAAGGAGUAAUAACAUGUCAGUAACUCUUUAAUUAAUUACUUGAGUUGGUAAAGUCAGUGACAUAAUGCUUCCUUCCAUUUGGAGUCAAAAUAAUGUUCAGGCACAUACUAACUUCAUUUUUAAAGUUGGGGGUUCGAUUAUGUAAGAGAGUAUUUCACAUUAUUUAUAAUGACUCUAACCAUGACUUUGAGCAAUAAAUUUUCUUAGAAUUGCUGUUUAGUGAUUAAGAAGGUGUCUUGUUCCCCUUCGAAAUCUUAGAAUUAUAAUAAAACUUUGUAAGCAUAAAUAAUAUUUAUUGAUUAUUUUAACCUUAAUAACGCAUGAAAUUAACUCACUCGGCGUCAGUACUCUUGAUGUAGAGAGUGCGUGUAGCUAGAAGUGGUGGAAUGUCGAGCCGGUUAAUUGCUCAAUCAACAUCACCGGCUAGUUGAAAGAAAUUUUAAUGCAUUAGCCUAGUAAAUAUUUUUGGACAUAUAAAUUAAGAUCAUCAUUCUCUCAUGAUUUGAUCUUUUAUUGAGUAAAAAUGGUGAUUAGUAAUUAAUAAAUAAAAAAAUUAAAUUCUACUCAUAUAUUAUCAUUAAAAAACACGUGAUCUUUAAAAGCUCACGAGAGGUUAUUCUAGAAAAGAUCAUAAUCAUAUCAAUUAAGACAUAAAUUUAAUUAUGAAUAUGAAUUGAAAGCCUAACCUACGAGGUAUAUUAGUCAAUUAUAAUGAUAGUCGGUUAUUAAGAGUUUUUUAUUUUUGGCUUUUUUUAGGGAUUCGAAGAAAAUCUAACCUUUGGAAGAAAAUUGUAUAAUGCCGUAAUUAAAAUUACAACAUCAAUGCUAUAAUAAACUUAAAUUUUAUAAAUUAUAUGCAAGACUAAUAAAUAGAAAGUAAAACAAGUAAAUUAAUAUAAAAUUAUAAUUAUUAAAACAAUUAACAUGGUUUCUCUAGAAUUUUAGUGAAAAAUAGUUUAUUUAUUUACCUUAAUUAAAUAAAAUCACUCAUCAAUUGAAAAAAAUAAUUAUACUGAAAAUAAGUA
Molecule: long non-coding RNA, 2313 nt
Filed under: Citrus x clementina
Lineage: Eukaryota; Viridiplantae; Streptophyta; Magnoliopsida; Sapindales; Rutaceae
Description: Citrus clementina (C. clementina) long non-coding RNA (CCLE_LNC004678)
Source: RNAcentral